RNA transcript from Fragaria vesca subsp. vesca, 577 nucleotides. RefSeq lists it as uncharacterized. The record is from RefSeq and is a predicted model, not a curated record. NCBI's taxonomy places the organism in Eukaryota, Viridiplantae, Streptophyta, Magnoliopsida, Rosales, Rosaceae. The transcript has 2 exons.
UCGAAUCUCAACUUCGAAAUCCAAACACACCCAUUAUCUCCCAAACAAGGUUUCACCAAAUCGACCCAAGAGUUUCUCGACAACCUCAUCACCGCCGCGCAAAAUUUCCACCUAACCGGAAUCCGUCUAUUUCAGGACUUGGAAUGCAAGUUGGUUCAGGUAGAGUUGGGCACUGCUUGAGCACUUUUGGGCAAAUUGUCUGCCAACUUCCCAGAAACACCAAACUCUCGCUUCUUGGUCUUCACCAAAUGCCCAAAUCAUCAAAUGAACAUGUCAGUCACAGAGCUCGUUCCGUGCCAUUAGGCGUUUACAUUGAUUUGGGACAGGUAAAAAAAGUUUGGGAGCGUUAUGCAUGGAUUUUGUGCAUUAUACAUUGCAUGGAAUUUCAGUUUAGGUGACUUGUAAAGUUGUAAUAUACUGUAAUGUCUGAUUACUCCAGAUAGGUUAUAGGCGGUUUCUUCUUAAUUCAGGCGCAUCAUCUCAUUGUAGUUGGUAGAUGUUUUCCUUUCAUACAUUUAUCAUUUAUGCAGUCGUUUCCUACAACAAGAAAUAUAUUGAAACCAAUAUGUUAUUUAAC